This 465-nucleotide ribosomal RNA is filed under the name uncultured bacterium. Its description in RNAcentral is "partial 16S ribosomal RNA". It matches the Rfam family "Bacterial small subunit ribosomal RNA", at positions 338 to 795 of the family's 1533-position model. The record is from RNAcentral.
CCUACGGGAGGCAGCAGUGGGGAAUAUUGCGCAAUGGGCGAAAGCCUGACGCAGCGACGCCGCGUGAGGGAUGAAGGUCUUCGGAUCGUAAACCUCUGUCAGCAGGGCAGAACGGUCACUGUGCUAAUCAGCAGUGAAUUGACGGUACCUGCAAAGGAAGCACCGGCUAACUCCGUGCCAGCAGCCGCGGUAAUACGGAGGGUGCGAGCGUUAAUCGGAAUUACUGGGCGUAAAGCGAUCGUAGGCGGUAUGUCAAGUCAAGGGGGAAAUCCCCGCGCUCAACGUGGGAACUGCCUUUGAAACUGGCAAACUGGAGUGUGUGAGAGGAUAGUGGAAGUCCAGGUGUAGGAGUGAAAUCCGUAGAUAUCUGGAGGAACAUCAGUGGCGAAGGCGACUAUCUGGCACAUAACUGACGCUGAGGAGCGAAAGCGUGGGUAGCAAACAGGAUUAGAUACCCUGGUAGUC